UUUCCGUAGGUGAACCUGCGGAAGGAUCAUUAAUGAGUUCUCAUGCGGUGCGGUGCUAGCAUCCCAUUUUUGUAUGCAUGUGCUGUCCCUAACAAUCAUCUUCCAACCACCUGUGCACGGGUUUGAGGGACUCGUGAUGUGGUUGCCGCUCUUCGGUGGUUUUCUCACAUUCCCUUAAAUCAUUAUACGCUAUUAACAAUGUUUAAAAUUCUCUGUACCGCAAGUCUAUUAUUAUACUACAACUUUUAACAACGGAUCUCUUGGCUCUCGCAUCCAUGA
RNAcentral lists this unclassified non-coding RNA (279 nucleotides) under plant metagenome. Its description in RNAcentral is "partial contains small subunit ribosomal RNA, internal transcribed spacer 1, and 5.8S ribosomal RNA". The record is from RNAcentral.